GCGGCGGGGGGCAGGGGGGGCGGGCAGCCUCGUGAUGAUGUGCGGCUUAGGGUGACUCGACCGGCCCGGCUCAGUCCCGGGGCCCCGACCCAUCAACCAGGUCUGUAAUCUUGGCGGGCGCUGCAGAGCCGUGCGCGCUGGCUGU
This is a non-coding RNA of Ornithorhynchus anatinus (platypus), 145 nucleotides long. The record is from RefSeq and is marked provisional. Lineage: Eukaryota; Metazoa; Chordata; Mammalia; Monotremata; Ornithorhynchidae.